RNAcentral lists this ribosomal RNA (500 nucleotides) under uncultured Glomeromycotina. Its description in RNAcentral is "partial small subunit ribosomal RNA". It matches the Rfam family "Eukaryotic small subunit ribosomal RNA", at positions 591 to 1092 of the family's 1831-position model. The record is from RNAcentral. Lineage: Eukaryota; Fungi; Glomeromycota.
CCAAUAGCGUAUAUUAAAGUUGUUGCAGUUAAAAAGCUCGUAGUUGAAUUUCGGGGUCAGUAGGCUGGUCGUGCCACAGGUAUGCACUGGUCUCACUGAUUCCUCCUUCCUGAUGAACCGUAAUGCCAUUAAUUUGGUGUUGCGGGGAAUCUGGACUGUUACUUUGAAAAAAUUAGAGUGUUUAAAGCAGGCUAACGCUGGAAUACAUUAUCAUGGAAUAAUGAAAUAGGACGAUCGAUCCUAUUUUGUUGGUUUCUAGGAUUGACGUAAUGAUUAAUAGGGAUAGUUGGGGGCAUUAGUAUUCAAUUGUCAGAGGUGAAAUUCUUGGAUUUAUUGAAGACUAACUACUGCGAAAGCAUUUGCCAAGGAUGUUUUCAUUAAUCAAGAACGAAAGUUAGGGGAUCGAAGACGAUCAGAUACCGUCGUAGUCUUAACCAUAAACUAUGCCGACUAGGGAUCGGAUGAUGUUAAUUUUUUAAUGACUCAUUCGGCGCCUUACG